Long non-coding RNA from Arachis duranensis, 233 nucleotides. RefSeq lists it as uncharacterized. The transcript has 3 exons. NCBI's taxonomy places the organism in Eukaryota, Viridiplantae, Streptophyta, Magnoliopsida, Fabales, Fabaceae. The record is from RefSeq and is a predicted model, not a curated record.
AGGAAAUAUAAUAACUAUUCAAUUUGGUUUCUUCAACAUUUUGAAUUGAAUGAAACAGUUCAAAUUGGGUGCCAAAGAGGAUAAUUCUUAGUCACAAACCAAAAAUGAAAAAUGCUGUUGAACCUCCUAGCAGUCCGCGACACAGAAAUGUAUCAGCCAGGUGGAAUCCAUUUGAAGCAUGUAGGCCUAGAAUUGAUGAAGCAGUGGUUGCGGAGGUUGCUAUUUUGGUGGUG